CGGGUGAGUAACGCGUGAGGAACCUGCCUCAAAGAGGGGGACAACAGUUGGAAACGACUGCUAAUACCGCAUAAGCCCACGGCUCGGCAUCGAGCAGAGGGAAAAGGAGUGAUCCGCUUUGAGAUGGCCUCGCGUCCGAUUAGCUGGUUGGUGAGGUAACGGCCCACCAAGGCGACGAUCGGUAGCCGGACUGAGAGGUUGAACGGUCACAUUGGGACUGAGACACGGCCCAG
RNAcentral lists this ribosomal RNA (233 nucleotides) under uncultured bacterium. RNAcentral's name for it is "partial 16S ribosomal RNA". It matches the Rfam family "Bacterial small subunit ribosomal RNA", at positions 103 to 334 of the family's 1533-position model. The record is from RNAcentral.